AGAUAUUUGUUCCUGUCUGCGCGAUGAACUGAGAACCCAACUGGCUGUACGGACUCAGACAGUAUAUCCCGAGAGAGCCAUGUUUCCGUGAAACAGAGUGUUACAAUCCCUAAUGACUCUCUGGAAGGAAAUCCUCGCCCUAAGUUCGUCAACUUUAUUAUCCAGACUGGAAGAGGUGGGUACUCGGAAGAGGAGGGUGGUGUGCGAUCCUCCUGAGUCGGAGUAGAAGACCACUCUGAGUACCUCUUUACCGCCAGCGGACAUGCAAGUUUCAUAUUACAGAGGGUGGGGGUAAGAACACGAGAUGUGCACAACCGUGGUGGAUUAGGUACAGACUUAUACAACCAGAGUAACAGGAUUGUACAUACCUAUCAUUUAAAGUAAUGCUCAUACACAUAUUUUUCCUAAGAGAUAGAAGCUCUUAUGCGGUCUCCUGUUCUAUUGAUUUUCUUUCAACAUUCUUCGUUGUCUAGCAGCCAAAGGCAUUAUCCUAGUCAUAUUGUAACGGCUGUCUUCUGUAGAAAUGGACCAAGGCGCAGCAGAUACAGAGAGCUGUGAAAGCCUGUAUGCAGAUGAGGUCCCAAAACAAUUGCUGACAAUUGCCAUGUAGGGCACUGCCUCGUGGGGGAAUUCAAGUAUGUGUGAAAGCUAUCUGUGUCCUGCAUAACUUCAUGAUAGACAUGAGGACCAGGAGGGGACCUGCAGCUCGCCACCAUCUGCCAUAGGAGAGGUCUGCUGCUCUGCAGGAUGUUCCAAAGAUCGGGGCCAACAACACAGCUCGGGAGACAAUCCGUAUGCAGGAGAUCUUCACCUCCUACUUCUUCUAAGAGGGUGAGGGUGCUGUUCAGAAUAAGGGGGAUGUCUAUACAAAAACAACAGGCGCUUAAGAGUCACCCAUAUUGAAUGUAGAACAACUAGACACCCUACAACCCAAACCUACAGUACACACUCGUGUAUCAAUCUUAUUGAUGGAUUGUGUUGUGCAGUAAGUAGGCUCCCCUGUAUAACUGUGGCUCCUUCCACCUUCAAAGAAUAGGCAAGAGGACCAACCAUGGAGAAUAAUAAGACACUCAAUUAUUUAUAUUUAUGCAUCAACGCUAUUUGUUUGUCCUUGUGUGCCUCGUCUGUUUUUCAGUAUAAAGUACUCUGCAGCCACUCCGUGUGGGACACCAGGUUAUAUCAGCUGUGUCGGUGAACCCCUCCAGCUUGUGAACUGCCUGACACAGAGGGCACAGCAUGAUCAGAGGUGAAAGGUCACUUGGUCAGGUCAACAGGAAGUAUUAUUAAAGAGAUGUUUACAUUGAAAUACAGAUAGAGAUGUAGUAGUCCCAGAGUUAAUGAUCCAAGGUCAGUUUUGCAUUCAAUUCCUGAUGAUUAUGAUGACUGACAGUGUUGGGAUUAAAAUAACACAAGGCUUAAUCAUGCUCUUUCUCUCAUUUGCAGGUACUGUAUGUUUUGAUGUGAGAGAGGAUGCCAACUCCCAGUCCUGUCAUUGCCACCUCACGGGCCUACUGGGUGCCCAAGGCUGGUUAGGAAACACCGCUAGACACUUAUGUAAUUGUGUUGACCUGAGAGAAUAUGAAGUUUAGUAGCACUAUAAUUCAUUCAUCAUAUGCUAUCUUCCCUGCUCCUCAGUUCUUAACUCUUCCCCUUUGUCUUUUACACUCUCACACCUCUCUCCCAAACUUCUUU
This 1692-nucleotide long non-coding RNA is filed under the name Salmo salar (Atlantic salmon). Its description in RNAcentral is "lncRNA (ENSSSAG00000112036.1)". Lineage: Eukaryota; Metazoa; Chordata; Actinopteri; Salmoniformes; Salmonidae. The record is from RNAcentral.